RNAcentral lists this ribosomal RNA (457 nucleotides) under uncultured bacterium. RNAcentral describes it as "SSU rRNA". It matches the Rfam family "Bacterial small subunit ribosomal RNA", at positions 26 to 518 of the family's 1533-position model. The record is from RNAcentral.
AGAAUCAACGCUGGCGGCGUGCCUAACACAUGCAAGUCGCACGAGAAAGGGAGUUCGCUCCUGAGUAAAGUGGCGCACGGGUGAGUAACACGUGAAUCAUCUACCUCCGAAUGGGGAAUAACUGAGAGAAAUCUUAGCUAAUACCGCAUAAUACCUACGGGUCAAAGCAGCAAUGCGUUUGGAGAGGAGUUCGCGGUCGAUUAGUUAGUUGGCGGGGUAAUGGCCCACCAAGACGAUGAUCGAUAUCCGGCCUGAGAGGGCGCACGGACACACUGGAACUGAAACACGGUCCAGACUCCUACGGAGGCAGCAGUGGGGAAUUUUGCGCAAUGGGGGAAACCCUGACGCAGCAACGCCGCGUGGAGGAUGAAAUAUCUUGGUAUGUAAACUCCUUUCGAUGGGAAGAUAAUGACGGUACCAUAGAAGAAGCCCCGGCUAACUUCGCGCCAGCAGCCGC